GCCCAUUACCCCAGGACCUGAGUCCUCGGAAGACAGUUUUGCCAAAUGGGCCUUGGAACAGAGCAAAAGCUCCUUCUUCUAAACUUCCUCAUGCAUCCCCAGCCUCCUUAUUUCAUUUGGUACCUUUAGAACGAAUGGCUUAGACUUUCACAAGGAUACACCAUGACCUUUCUUCCUUCCUCUGGCCAACCAGAAUUUCUGCACUGCAAGUUUGUAAGGGUGGAUGCAGAGCAAGCCCAGCGUGGUUCUUCAGGGCACCUGCCAUCAGCACCACAGCAGUAGGUGCUUAGUUUCUGUUUACACUUCCUUUAUUUAGUCUCUUAGAAUCGCUUAAUAGCAACGUAACACAAAGGCCAAACGGUGCCCUUAGAAACUUGUAAACACAGUGAAGGCCUGGGCAUUGCUGCAGUUGAAGGAUCCCUCAGGACAAGGAAGAGAAGUUACCUGGAAGAGAAGGUACCUGGAAAGGGAACGGCACAGGUGGACGGUCAGUUUCAGCAAAAUAAGUUGUGGCUUUUCAGGCAGUGUGUCAGCAGAGUGUGUAGACUCUGGCCCUUGGAUGAGCUUAUUUCAGGUUAAAUUACUUAAUCACAAAAUAAUUUUAACAAUUAUCAAGCAGUAAAAAGAUCAGCAACAACUAUCAUUGUUAGAACAUUUUACAAGUAAUGCCAUAUUCCAAUUGUUUAUAUUUCCUGAUAAUAUCUGAAUUAAUACCACGAUGUUAUAUAUAUAAUAACUAUACUCGAAUAAUGAAAAUACUUUCAGAUAUAAAUGAAAACAAUCUUUGUUUUUCUUUGAGAAAGUAUUUCGUAUAUUUAUGAGCUGGUUUUGUGGUCAGUGCAGUGGGGCCAACGGCAUCACAGGCCCCCCGCCCACCUCCAUCCUCAUCAGAGGAAGAUUAAAGCAGGUCACUUUUUUUUUGUCUUUUUUUUUUUUUUUUUUUUUUUUUUCCUCUUUUUAGGGCCACACCUGUAGCAUAUGGAAGUUCCCAGGCUAGGGAUCGAAUCAGAGCUGUAGCUGCUGGCCUUUGCCACAGCCAUAGCAGUGCUGGAUUCUUAACCCACUGAGUGAGGCCAGGGAUCAAACCUGUGUCCUCAUGGUUGCUAGUCAGGUUCACUUCCACCGGGCCACAACAGGAACUCCAAAGCGUGUCCUUUGGAGCAUCUCCGCUGGACUGCUGCCUGUGCCCGCCUUCCUUCCUAAGAGCUGCCAUUGUUCAGUCGGCUACUCUCCCCGUCUGAGCUGUGGUUUUGUGACCUAGGCUGGCCCAGGAGAGCUGCAGUGGCCACGCGGUAGAAAGGGUCAUCCCUGAGCGCCUUCCAUCACCCCAGACCCUACCCUCCACCCCUUGUUCCAAAGUGAAAGGGAAAAGUUAAGAGAUUAGACGCCAACAAGUUAUUUACAAAGGGCUCCAACCAGCAACGCAAGAAGCACAAAACCUCACAGGACCAGGAAAGUGCUGAGGGGGUGGAAGUAAUGGAGAAGGAGGGUCCUCGGGUCUGAGGGCUGGGGGAACAGUGCCGAGUCCCAUGACGGAAGCUCUGAGGCUCAGGUGGGGGACAGCAGAGAGCUGCCCGGUCCCCUGCAAGCCCCGGUGUUCCCUGAUUUUCUUACAGUUGAUCUGAAUACUUAAAUCCCUGUAGCUCAAAAGACAGUCUGACUUCUGCUUUCCCAAAGACACAUCUUAAAGGGAAACUCAUCGACAUAGGCUAUUAUUUUGUCUCCUUACAUCUACGCGCCUGUUUGACAUAUUUUGUCCAACUUCCCUUUAGUCACAGAAGGUACUGUUGUUAUUCAUCAGUUAAGGUCUUUAGACAAACAGAGAGAUGCCUAUUCUUGUCAAAGUGAGUAGAGAACUUGAUUAUAUUCUGGUAAAAGGGCCAAUUUAAUAUGGGCAUCAGUAUCUAAGCAAUUAUUUUUACAGUCUCAGAUCCAAAUACCUUUCAGGAAACCACAAAAGCCUUUAUUUUUACAGCUUAAUUCAAAGCUUAUCAAGGUCACAGGCAUUUCACUUAUUAUCAGGAGGCUUCCUGAGGAAAAGUGGAGUAAAAAUAUAGGCAUGUAGGUUCCAGAACUUCACUUUUGAACAGGUGGGAUGGAGAAGGAAAACUGUUCCUACUGGUUCGAGGUAAUUGUUUUCAGUGUAAGGCUCUUUGAAUGCAGUAAGCCACGGGAAGCAAAAUGACCUCACUUUGCAGAUUCAGGAAAAAAAAUCACACUGUGUGGGAGAAGAAUCUAUUAUCGAGUCAUGGAUUUGGGAAUGUUUCACACAAAUUCAGGGUCCUCCGAAGCAUUUCUGUAAAAGCUUUAGGAGUACCGCUUGUGGUUGGUGUGACAUAUUUGUGAUGACUGCGUUAGAUCAGGCAUUGCCCACACAUCCAAACUAUUUAUUUUACCAUCUGAGUGUGUGUACUGGGGUGGGUGAGGUGCUGGGAGACUUGUUUCAAGCCUAAUGCCUGGCACACAGCUUAUCUCAUAUAAUUCUGGCUGCACAUAAAUGAAACAGGACAAGUAGACAGAAAUCAAUUUCUUUCUGAUUAAAGCACCUGAAUCCACAGUUCAGGGCCAGUGUGGUGGGUCGACACUGUGAAGCUGAGGAUUCCUCUAUCUCUUCAUUCUAUUGUGACUUGCUACCAUUCCCAAGGUCACCUCGUGAUCCAAGGUGGCUGCUGGAGCUCCAGCCAUUGAACUACAUUCUAGAGCAAAAAGGAGGAAGAAGGAUGGGAAAACGAGCCCCUCCCUAUUCAGGGGUCUUUCUGAAAGAACCGUACAAUACCACUGCUUCCAGCUGAGGGGUUAGAACAGUGACAUGGUUGCAAGUAGCUGUGACAGACACUGGGGAAUGUGCUUGGCUUAAAAAAAGUUAGAAUCCUUUUAUUAAAAAGAGAGAAAAAUGGGAGUUCCCUGGUGGCUCAGUGAGUUAAGGAUCCUGCCUUUGGCUCAGGUUUGAUCCUUGGCCCUG
This 2962-nucleotide long non-coding RNA is filed under the name Sus scrofa (pig). RNAcentral describes it as "lncRNA (ENSSSCG00000056807.1)". The record is from RNAcentral. Lineage: Eukaryota; Metazoa; Chordata; Mammalia; Artiodactyla; Suidae.